RNAcentral lists this ribosomal RNA (253 nucleotides) under uncultured bacterium. RNAcentral's name for it is "partial 16S ribosomal RNA". It matches the Rfam family "Bacterial small subunit ribosomal RNA", at positions 524 to 776 of the family's 1533-position model. The record is from RNAcentral.
UACGUAGGGUGCAAGCGUUAAUCGGAAUUACUGGGCGUAAAGCGUGCGCAGGCGGUGAUGUAAGACAGAUGUGAAAUCCCCGGGCUCAACCUGGGAACUGCAUUUGUGACUGCAUCGCUGGAGUGCGGCAGAGGGGGAUGGAAUUCCGCGUGUAGCAGUGAAAUGCGUAGAUAUGCGGAGGAACACCGAUGGCGAAGGCAAUCCCCUGGACCUGUAUUGACGCUCAUGCACGAAAGCGUGGGGAGCAAACAGG